AACGAACGCUGGCGGCAUGCCUAACACAUGCAAGUCGAACGAAGCCUUCGGGCUUAGUGGCGCACGGGUGCGUAACACGUGGGAAUCUGCCCUUUGGUUCGGAAUAACAGUUAGAAAUGACUGCUAAUACCGGAUAAUGACGUAAGUCCAAAGAUUUAUCGCCGAAGGAUGAGCCCGCGUAGGAUUAGGUAGUUGGUGGGGGUAAAUGGCCCACCAAGCCGACGAUCCUUAGCUGGUCUGAGAGGAUGAUCAGCCACACUGGGACUGAGACACGGCCCAGACUCCUACGGGAGGCAGCAGUGGGGAAUAUUGGACAAUGGGCGAAAGCCUGAUCCAGCAAUGCCGCGUGAGUGAUGAAGGCCUUAGGGUUGUAAAGCUCUUUACCAGGGAUGAUAAUGACAGUACCUGGAGAAUAAGCUCCGGCUAACUCCGUGCCAGCAGCCGCGGUAAU
RNAcentral lists this ribosomal RNA (451 nucleotides) under uncultured bacterium. Its description in RNAcentral is "bacterial SSU rRNA". It matches the Rfam family "Bacterial small subunit ribosomal RNA", at positions 29 to 524 of the family's 1533-position model. The record is from RNAcentral.